CCCCUGGAGGACUAGUGGUUAGGCCAUAGAACUCUCACCCCUGCAGCCCAGGUUCGUUUCCUGGCCAGGGAA
RNAcentral lists this transfer RNA (72 nucleotides) under Pangasianodon hypophthalmus (striped catfish). It matches the Rfam family "tRNA". Rfam says of the family: Transfer RNA (tRNA) molecules are approximately 80 nucleotides in length. Their secondary structure includes four short double-helical elements and three loops (D, anti-codon, and T loops). The record is from Rfam by way of RNAcentral. Lineage: Eukaryota; Metazoa; Chordata; Actinopteri; Siluriformes; Pangasiidae.